CUUUGUCAGUUGUUAUCAAAAGAUGUCCUCUUUCAUUAGACUGUUAAAAGGGAGCCUUCUGUAAGCAAACAUUUUGAGCAAUUUCUUACUUAAAACAGAUGUGCUGUUUUCCAAUCUAGGAAUUAUUAGAGCCAUUAUUAAGAGGCCGAGGCAAGGAUAUCAUGACGAAAAUGAGAGAGCUGAGUGCAAGAAUGCUGACUAAGGACCAUCAAACCAAACUUAGUUAAGCUUGAACAUUUAAAGGAUUUUCUGAAAUAAAAAGUAUUUGGUAAGGAGAUGAUUUCAAAACAUUCCUGAAGGUCUGAAUUAGCUUCUUGCUGGCAUCAGGAGCAGGCAUGCAAUUAGAAGAAAACUGGUAGACAUCCAUUAACAACUGCUCUGCAUACUCCACAUAGCCAAUCUGAAAUCCAGGAGCCACUUAAACUAAUCUCAAGACGAUGCACUUGUUGUAAAACUGGCAUGCACACGUAACCCUCGCACAGCCUGCAUCACACCACAACCAGAACUCUGAAAUCAGUAUCAGAUUUAUUAAUAAGUUACAACAUUCAGAAGCCAAACAUAUGGCUUCUGCUCGUUAGACACGUAUAUCUAGUCAUUCCAAAGUAUCUGAUGUUGUUGUCUUCAGCAGUUCGAAUGGAAAUAAAACUAUUGUUUGCCUUUGUGGCCACAGCCCAAUACAAAUGUCAAUUACCACACUGCUGGAAACAUUAAGUAUGUCAGUUUGUGUAGCAUACAUAUACAGUUAUGUUUCAGAGCACACUGAAGAUACGCAAUAAGACUGAAAUCUUUUGCAAAGUUAUAGCUACCAUAAAAUGACUGUUUCCUGAACAAUAGUUUAUACUGCUAAAAUCGUUUGCAGUUCUUAAUACAAAGUAGACACAUAAGUAGCUGUAAUAAAAUCUGUAUUUUAAAAAUAAAAUAAAAUUAAAGGGUGCUUUUUUAAAAAGUCAUUUGCUUGACUAUUCCAGAUGAGCAAAUACUGUUUUAGUAUUUGUGUUCCUUUCCCUCAUUAUAUAACAAUUUAUAUAGACAACUAAAUGCCAUUCUUUCAGCAUUAGAACUGCUUUUCCUAGCAGUGUAAUGGCUAUCAGAUACUAUAGUUUGUCUUUAACCUCUUCAAAAUACUCUUAAAGUUUCUGCUUUCGGUGCACAGGAAUCUGAAUGACACUGGAUUAACCACUUAAAACCACAAAGGGAUACCUGAGGCCUAUCUGAAAAGUCUGUUAUAUGCCCAAUAAUAACAUUCUGAUAUCUCCAGCUUUUCUAAACCUUAACCUGGAUGCUCCAUUAGGGUUGUUUAUAGAGCAGACUUAGAAGUCAAUGCAUGUUAUUUAAAAGAUCUCAUGGUUUGAUAAAAUGCUGGGUCUUGACUUGCACAGGUGUCGUAGGCUUCCACAGGUUCUCUAUCUGAGGCUGGCACUUCUGAAUUAUAAUGGAGGCUUACUCCGGAAAGUAAAAAACCACUCCUGACAAAUCUGUUACCACCACUAAAAGGUAAAACUUCAGAACCAGCUGUUUAUGUAAGAAUACAUCAUAUUGUUUCAUAAUUUGAGGAGCAGGGAUUAUUUCUGUAUGUUUCUGCAGUAUUUUUGUAGAAAACCAUUUUUUAUUCCACUCCUAAUUUCCUCAGCUUUAAUUCUAUGAUGCUGUAAUCUCUUCACAAGAAUUCUGUUAUUACAAAUGGAGGAUUUUAUAUUUAGAGGGGAAACAAUCUGCCUGGUCUGAGGUGUUAACAGCCAGAACAAGUUUCUGGUGUAAUACCAAGAGUAUACAGUAUUAAAAACUGAGGUACGAUGGAAGAACUCCUAUUUCUGUGAAGUUAGUGGGAACUUGACCUUAAACAAGGAUCAAGAUUGCAUCACAUUGAAAUGCUAUAAAACAUAUAGCGACAUGAAAUAUUCUCCUCACAUAUGUUCUUUUUCCAUUGUGGCACCGGUCACUAAAGUUGCUGUUGUAAGUGCAUGUAUAAUAUGUCAGUGACACAUACUAUUUUACUAUUUGUUUUGCUGAAAAUGGAAGAAAUCCAGAGUACCUUGUUUUGAUCUAGUUGCCUUCUGGUUUAACGCUCAUUGAGAAUGACUAUCAUUUGCUUCAGAACAGACAGAAGUAGAAUCACAUUUCUUAGCUUUACAAGAGAAGGUAACAUGACCCUCCAGGAGCCCUGAGAAAGAAACACUUCCAGUUUCAGCAGCAAACCCAGAAGAGACGGUCACAUUUACCCCUACCUGCCUGUCCUCUGUCUACAUGCUCAGGUCAUUGGCUCUCAGCUGUAGUCGCUCUCUUUUGAACAAAGCGGUAAUAUAAAUAUUCAUCCCGAAAUUCAAAUUCAUUUGCAAUGUGCUGGAUGACACCUCCUUUCAUCAGUCUGUCUCCGUACAUCACAGCUUCACCACGGUCAGAGGCGAGGCCAACUUGGAUGAGCCAGUUCACCAGGUCACAGCCAAAGAAGAUGCCAGUGGAGAUCUUUGCACCACACCUGGAACACAGCUGCCAAAGAACAUUCUGGAACGUGGUUUCAGAUUAUCUGACUAUAGACAAGAAAAUCCCCCUGCAGAACUAGUAGAGAGCUUCCAUGACAAGAGAAGUAAAAGUGUCCUGUUAAAACAACUCUUCAUCUCUCUGCUUUACAUAGUAGAUAUACAAAUGCAGGCAAGUAUCUUUUUCUUACUCCUGAUGCUUCUGUCUGCAUUUCUUUUCUCAUCCACCUGAACAUAAUGAAAUACAUAACCUUUGACCUAGGUAUCAUAAUUUGGGUUUGCAAGCUUUGGCAAUCUCACAAUUUGGGGUUUAGGCUUCAUGAGAGGAAUCAGCAAAAUAAAUUGUAUGAACUCAAAAAGUGUAAAGUCCUAAAGAUGUUCUGCUCUCACUGUUGUAAUAGUUUUGUCUCCCGCAAUAGCUAUUAGUAACAUUUUCUACCAUAAAUACCAACACCUUAUUAAUUAGAAGACAAAAAUGAAGCAUCACACAGGCUAUCACAGGCAUUGACACAUACACUUCUUCAGAAAGAUUUUGUUCCUAAACUUCUGCUAAAUACAAGAACUGGGGACAGGUCUUAAUAAGGUGCUACAAAACCAUCAAACCUAGAUGAGAUAACAUGAUAAUUUGUACCUCAGUGUUUUAGUCUUAUACAAGAAUAUUUUCUACAUGUUACUGCAAAAUACUUAAUCUUCACUUGAAUGUUUGAGUAAAUACAUGAGAACAGAUAUGAGAACACGCACAGAAUGACUAUAUUGCAUUUCAUUAUUUUCAAAAAGUGAGCUAUGAGCUUUGUUAACAGGUUAAAUGUGAAGGGGGAAGACCUUACCUUCUGCCUUUGACGAUGCUUUUGACACAGUGAUCUCUGUGAUAACGAACAAACUGUUGGCAGGUCAUCCUGAUUUCCUCAGGUAGAGUGGGAUCUGCAUGCCCUUCUGCUUCUCUCCCUCCCCAGAGGAAUUCAAGCCUGGGGUGGAGGGGUGGGAACAACAAUAAAAAAAUUAAAAAAUAAUAAUAAUUUAAAAAAAAAAUCAAACAAAAGACUUUUAAGGAAACUGGAAAUAAGAAUGGAACUCACAGGAAACUUAUCACAGCUUCUUACUGUUUUUCUGCAAAUGUUUUUAAUAUAAUCUUCCUAAUAUUCUUGUAUGCCCUUUGAACACUGAGAAGUUUUACUCUGGGCUAAGGCAGAAGGAAGGACAGAGAGUAGCUGGGAGCCAGCCCUAGCUGCUGGAUUCACAACACAGCCAGCUAGCUCUAAUUUAAAGAUGGCUUUGUACAACUUACUUUUCCAAAGUGAGGUACCAAUGAAAGUCUCCAUCCACACAAAGAACUUGCAUGAGCUAAUUAAUAGAGGACUUUAAAACAGCGCUGAAGGCAUCU
Molecule: long non-coding RNA, 3858 nt
Filed under: Gallus gallus (chicken)
Lineage: Eukaryota; Metazoa; Chordata; Aves; Galliformes; Phasianidae
Source: RNAcentral